UUCGCCAAUUAAAGAGGUACGCGAGCUGGGUUCAGAACGUCGUGAGACAGUUUGGCCCCUAUCUUCCGUGGGCGCAGGAAAAUUGAGAGGAGCUGUCCUUAGUACGAGAGGACCGGGAUGGACGAAUCUCUGGUGUACCUGUUGUCACGCCAGUGGCACGGCAGGGUAGCUAAAUUCGGAAUGGAUAACCGCUGAAAGCAUCUAAGCGGGAAGCCGACCUCAAGAUAAGUUUUCCCUGAUUCUUCGGAAUCCUGAAGACCCCUUCGAGACUAGGAGGUUGAUAGGCGGAAAGUGUAAGCACAGCAAUGUGUUCAGCUGAUCCGUACUAAUUGGUCGUGAGGCUUCUUUAA
RNAcentral lists this ribosomal RNA (350 nucleotides) under Bdellovibrionales bacterium. Its description in RNAcentral is "partial 23S ribosomal RNA". It matches the Rfam family "Bacterial large subunit ribosomal RNA", at positions 2580 to 2925 of the family's 2925-position model. The record is from RNAcentral. Lineage: Bacteria; Pseudomonadati; Bdellovibrionota; Bdellovibrionia; Bdellovibrionales.